UUGGCCCCGCCCACUGCAGGCAUCCCUUUAUGCGCCUGCGCGGCCUGCUCCCUAUGAGAGUGAACGUGGUCCCGCCCACGACAGGCAUCCCUCUCCCUCCCUUCUGCGCCUGCGCGGCCUCCUCGGCGUCACCGGAAGCUCCGUCACAGGGCGGCAAGAUGGCGGCCCGGCCCGGUCAGAGGCGUUCGGGGCGGCGUUUCCACGGUGACCCGGGUCCGUCGAGGCUUCGUCGCCAAGGCCCGGGAGGAGGAGGAAGGGCGCCGGGAGCGUGGCCUUCCAAACCGAGCCGGGGUUGGGCGUGAGGCCGCGCCUGCCUCCCUUCCCUGCCCGGACGUUUGCAGGCCAAGGCGGGGAAGGAAUCCCAGGCAGGAAAACCCCCUUGGCCUGCGCGCCCUCCCUGCCUGCCGGAGUUUGGGACUCUUCCCAACCCGUAGGCUGGCUGCUAGGCAUUGUGGGAGUUGGAGUCCCAAGUUCGCCCAGGCCUCUUCUUUUUUCCUGACCUUUUUUUAAAAAAAUUAUGUAUCAAAAAAAGUUUUCAAUAAAAAUGAUUAAAAAAAAAUAAAUGGAGCAAGGAUGGUAAUCGCAAAACAAUGGAAAAGUGAGAAAGCCCCAUCGAAAGAUGCCUGGCUGACCAAAUGGACUGAAAUAAAGGAUAUGGACAAACUUACCUUCUGAAUGAGAAAGAGCAACGGAAGAGCUAUAAGAGCCACGGACUGGUCAAACUUUGAAGACUACCUUGUUACUUCAGAGAAGGGAACCAGCAAGGUUGUAUUCAGAUUUUCUGGGAAGUUGUAGUUUAGGUAAACAUAAUGAAGAUUUUACUGAUUGCAGUACAGUCUCCUUAUCUAUAGAUUUGAUAUGCAUGGUUUUACUUACUGUAGUAAACUCUCCCCUCCAAAGUGUUUGUAGGCCUCUCUAUGUUCUUCACUGCAAUUCUGUGAUAUGUUUCUGGCCCAAAUAUCAGCGAAAUAUAAGGUUUACUUGCAUCCAUGGGGAUCUUAGAAUGGGAGGUAUAUGUAAUAGUUUAACCCUUAAGCUCUUCCUCAUUAAAAAAAUUGCAGGAAAGUCUAGUUAUUUUUCCCCCUCCACAAAUGUCUUGCAGGCAUUACAUUUUUUGUUCUUUUUAAAAUGUAAUACAAUGGUAUAAUUUCCCCCCCCCUCCCAAGCACAUCUUCUCUGUUGGUUUCUUCUUUUCUGGGUAGGAGAUAUUACUUUUUGGAGCCAACCCGGGAUUUUAUCAGUAUAUUUAUUGUAUGUGACCUCAUUUGUUUUAUGAUUUGUUUUAUUGUUGAUUGACUUGUUUUAUUGAUAUGUUUUUAUAUUGUCUGAUAUCUGGGCUUGGCCCCAUGUAAGCCGCCCUGAGUCCCUUCGGGGAGAUGGGGCGGGGUAUAAAACUAAAAUUAUUAUUAUUAUUAUUAUUAUUAUUAUUAUUAUUAUUAUUAUUACCUUAAGAAAAGAUGAUAAGAACUAUCUAAAUGGAACAUAAAUGAUUAGUGACAAAGAUCGGAAGUCAAUCCCCCCCCCCAUUGCUAGUGUCUAUCCCCUCUCACAAUCCCUAAUCCAGACACACUUGCCCUGCCCCUGCCCUCCCUUCCCUGUUCCCCUGCCGUAUGUCGUCUUAUGUUUUAUGUUUGAUGUUUUAAAAGAAACUUCUCAAUAAAAAUGAUACAAAAAAUAAAAUAAAAAAAUAAACUUAACCAAACCUGGCUGUUUAAACAAAAUCAAAUAAACAUGUCAUCCAUAAAUCAAAAUAAAAACACACACUUCUUUACACCAACUUUGGUUGCAAAUGUAUGCAAUUUCCUUGAGAAACCUCUUCCUUCCUUCCCAGGCACCAUUUCUUAAACCCAGAAAGGGAAAACACACGUAGGAGCCGCCUGAAUUCUCACUUCUCUGUCCUUACGGCUGAGUUACAACUCGCUGAGCUUGUUUUGAUUCUGUUUCUAUACAAAACGGUGGCUCCCAUCAUGAAAUCAAUAAAGUUUAUUAUUUCACGACG
Long non-coding RNA from Anolis carolinensis (green anole), 1999 nucleotides. RefSeq lists it as uncharacterized. The transcript has 2 exons. The record is from RefSeq and is a predicted model, not a curated record. NCBI's taxonomy places the organism in Eukaryota, Metazoa, Chordata, Lepidosauria, Squamata, Anolidae.